This 453-nucleotide ribosomal RNA is filed under the name Bethylus fuscicornis. RNAcentral's name for it is "partial 16S ribosomal RNA". The record is from RNAcentral. Lineage: Eukaryota; Metazoa; Arthropoda; Insecta; Hymenoptera; Bethylidae.
CCAAAAAAACAUGUCUUUUUGAAUUUUAAUUUAAAGUUGUCUCUGCCCAAUGAAAUUUUUAAUGGCCGCAGUAUUUUGACUGUGCAAAGGUAGCAUAAUCAAUAGUUUUUUAAUUGAAAACUUGUAUGAAAGAGUUGAUAAGAUAUAAACUUUAUUUUAAUAAAAUUAUAAUUUAAAAUUUAAGUAAAAAUGCUUAAAUAUAUUUGUGGGACGAGAAGACCCUAUAGAAUUUUAUAUUAUUUAAUUUGAUUAAAUUUAUUAUUUUUUAAUUAUAUUAAGGUAAUAUUUUAUUGGGAGGAUAAUUAAAUUUAUUAAACUUUAUUAAAAUUUAUUCAUUAAUUAAUGAAUUAAAGAAUUUUUAAAAUAAAUUAUUAGAUUAAAUUACCUUAGGGAUAACAGCGUGAUAUUUUUGGAGAGUUCUUAUUGAUAAAAAUGUUUGCGACCUCGUGUGGA